UGGGAUUAAAAGUGUGUACUACCAAGCCC
RNAcentral lists this non-coding RNA (29 nucleotides) under Rattus norvegicus (Norway rat). Lineage: Eukaryota; Metazoa; Chordata; Mammalia; Rodentia; Muridae. The record is from RNAcentral.